AAAAUGACGAUCUCUAAGUUUAUUAUCUUUGUGAUUUUUUAUCUUUGUUUAAUAAUAAAUGACAAUACUUCCGGAGAACUGAUUGAUUGUCAAUCAGAUUCAGAAUGUCCUGGUGGUACACAUGAUAAAUGUAAUCAAUGUGUCAAUGAUUUUGAGUUACACUGCGAUCAUGUAGACAAAGAACCUAACAUAUUUUAUUUUGAAAUCUGUGACUCUAAACAUUGCGCAUGCGAACCUGGUUAUUAUCGAACGUACGAUAAAAAAUGUGUUAUAAAAUCUCAAUGUUACGGACGUCCUAAAUUUUUUAAA
This is a long non-coding RNA of Microplitis demolitor, 309 nucleotides long. RefSeq lists it as uncharacterized. The transcript has 3 exons. NCBI's taxonomy places the organism in Eukaryota, Metazoa, Arthropoda, Insecta, Hymenoptera, Braconidae. The record is from RefSeq and is a predicted model, not a curated record.